RNAcentral lists this ribosomal RNA (254 nucleotides) under uncultured prokaryote. RNAcentral describes it as "partial 16S ribosomal RNA". It matches the Rfam family "Bacterial small subunit ribosomal RNA", at positions 524 to 777 of the family's 1533-position model. The record is from RNAcentral.
UACAUAAGGAGCAAGCGUUGUCCGGAAUCAUUGGGCGUAAAGAGCGCGCAGGUGGUUGAUUAAGUCUGAUGUGAAAGCCCACGGCUUAACCGUGGAGGGUCAUUGGAAACUGGUCGACUUGAGUGCAGAAGAGGGAAGUGGAAUUCCAUGUGUAGCGGUGAAAUGCGUGGAGAUAUGGAGGAACACCAGUGGCGAAGGCGGCUUCCUGGUCUGCAACUGACACUGAGGCGCGAAAGCGUGGGGAGCAAACAGGA